Molecule: ribosomal RNA, 267 nt
Filed under: Flavobacterium solisilvae
Lineage: Bacteria; Pseudomonadati; Bacteroidota; Flavobacteriia; Flavobacteriales; Flavobacteriaceae
Description: Flavobacterium sp. SE-s27 partial 23S ribosomal RNA
Rfam family: Bacterial large subunit ribosomal RNA
Source: RNAcentral
ACGGGUUAAUAUUCCCGUACUACUGUUAAUUGUGAUGGGGUGACGGAGUGAUGAAAGUACCGCGAACUGACGGAAUAGUUCGUUAAAGCACCUACCUAUAGGUCUUGUAGUUAAAUGCGCAAGACUUGGGGAAAUGCGAUAGUACGCGGAGUCUUCGGACAAAGUGAUAGUGUACCUAAGGGCUUCCAAGAAAAACCUCUAAACUUAGAUUAACAGUACCCGUACCGUAAACCGACACAGGUAGUCGAGGAGAGAAUCCUAAGGUGC